This 705-nucleotide ribosomal RNA is filed under the name Triticum aestivum (bread wheat). RNAcentral's name for it is "partial small subunit ribosomal RNA". Lineage: Eukaryota; Viridiplantae; Streptophyta; Magnoliopsida; Poales; Poaceae. The record is from RNAcentral.
GAUUUGGCCAAGGCGAGAAAUAUGAAGUUGUUGUUAUGCCUCUUUGAACAAUUAUCGGGGUUAAAGAUUAAUUUUCAUAAGAGCGAAUUGUUCUGCUUUGGUAGGGCUAAAGACGAACAGGACUCCUAUAGGCAACUGUUUGGGUGCGAGUUGGGAAGUCUGCCCUUCUACUACCUUGGCAUUCCGAUUCAUCAUCGUAGGCUAACAAACAGAGAGUGGAAGUGUAUCGAGGAUCGAUUUGAAAAGAAACUGAGCUGCUGGAAGGGUAAGCUCAUGUCAUAUGGAGGCCGGUUAGUUUUGAUAAACUCGGUACUCACGAGUAUGCCUAUGUUCCUCUUAUUGUUCUUUGAGGUUCCAGUGGGAGUGAGGAAAAGACUGGACUUCUAUCGAUCACGCUUCUUUUGGCAGGGUGAUGAGCUUAAAAGAAAAUACCGGCUUGCUAAGUGGGAUAUCAUCUGUCGACCCAAAGACCAAGGCGGGCUUGGCAUUGAGAAUCUUGAGGUUAAGAACAGAUGCCUUCUUAGUAAGUGGUUGUGGAAGCUCGCUAGCGGUUCGGAAGCUAUGUGGGCGCAAAUUAUUCGCAACAAGUAUCUCCAGACUAGGACUUUGUCCCAGGUAACAGUUAGGCCGAUGGAUUCGCCUUUCUGGAAAGGGCUCAUGAAAGUCAAGCAAUUAAUGUUCAAUAGGACAAAAGUUGUCAUUGGC